GCUUGUCUCAAAGAUUAAGCCAUGCAUGUCUUAGUGUAAAUAACUCUUAUGAAACUGCGAAUGGCUCAUUAAAACAGUUAUAGUUUAUUUGGUGGUCAACUCUUACAUGGAUAACCGUGGUAAUUCUAGAGCUAAUACAUGCUGUAAAGCCCGACUUCUCGGAAGGGCCGUAUUUAUUAGAUAACAGACCAAUAUUCCUCGUGUCUAUUGUGGUGAAUCAUAGUAACUGAUCGGAUCGCAUGGGCUACGCCCGCGACAAACCAUUCAAGUUUCUGCCCCAUCAGCUUUCGAUGGUAGUGUAUUGGACUACCAUGGCUUUUACGGGUAACGGAGGAUUAGGGUUCGAUUCCGGAGAGGGAGCCUGAGAAACGGCUACCACAUCUAAGGAAGGCAGCAGG
RNAcentral lists this ribosomal RNA (398 nucleotides) under uncultured Strobilidiidae. RNAcentral's name for it is "partial small subunit ribosomal RNA". It matches the Rfam family "Eukaryotic small subunit ribosomal RNA", at positions 30 to 432 of the family's 1831-position model. Lineage: Eukaryota; Ciliophora; Spirotrichea; Choreotrichida; Strobilidiidae. The record is from RNAcentral.